Molecule: long non-coding RNA, 610 nt
Organism: Malania oleifera
Lineage: Eukaryota; Viridiplantae; Streptophyta; Magnoliopsida; Santalales; Ximeniaceae
Exons: 2
Source: RefSeq, a predicted model, not a curated record
GAACUACAAAGUAGAGUUUGUCUUUUUUUGGUAAACCUUCCUAAAAUUCUUGAAACUUUAGGGGUGAUAUUUGAAAAUUUUAAAACAUUAGGAGAGGUGACUAUGUUUUUUGCCAAAAAUUUUGUUUAAUUCACAAAAAUAAUGUACCGAUCACUUAGAUUGAUGGACGGCGGAGGGUCGAGCUCGCGACAUUGCGCAACCAAAAGUAGGGUUUCCCUAUAAAUACCAGUGAGCCACCACUUCUCUCGCAAAUUCCCGAUUCACUUGCAGCGCAGCCGUCCUCUGAAAGCUAGGGUUCUGAAGUUGAGAAGAACAAAUCUCACGUUCGCCUCAUUACCAUGAGGGCCAAGUGGAAAAAGAAGCGUAUGAGGAGGUUGAAGAGGAAGCGACGAAAGAUGAGGCAGAGAUCCAAGUAGUCAGAUAAAUCGAUUGUCCUUCAAGUCAAUUCCGUCUUUUCCUUGAAGAGCCCAUUUGUUUUUUCGCGUGUUUUGUCUUUAUUAGUACUGAUAGAUUAAAGACUAGUACCGUUAACCUUUGUUGCGAUGUUUUUAUUAGGCUUAGUUUUGUGAACCUCAUUCCCUGGAAUAUGAUAUCUUUUAUAAUUUCCUAA